UACAGAGGUCCCGAGCGUUGUUCGGAUUCAUUGGGCGUAAAGGGUGCGUAGGCCGCAGGGUAAGUCGGGUGUGAAAUCUGGGGGCUCAACCCCCAAUGGGCACUCGGUACUGCCGCUGCUAGAGGGCUGGAGAGGAGAUCGGAAUUCACGGUGUAGCAGUGAAAUGCGUAGAGAUCGUGAGGAAGACCGGUGGCGAAGGCGGAUCUCUGGACAGUGCCUGACGCUGAGGCGCGAAGGCUAGGGGAGCAAACGGG
This 254-nucleotide ribosomal RNA is filed under the name uncultured bacterium. RNAcentral's name for it is "partial 16S ribosomal RNA". It matches the Rfam family "Bacterial small subunit ribosomal RNA", at positions 524 to 776 of the family's 1533-position model. The record is from RNAcentral.